Molecule: long non-coding RNA, 2980 nt
Organism: Felis catus (domestic cat)
Lineage: Eukaryota; Metazoa; Chordata; Mammalia; Carnivora; Felidae
Exons: 3
Source: RefSeq, a predicted model, not a curated record
CACGAACCGUGAGAUCAUGACCUGAGCUGAAGCUGGACGCUCAACCGACUGAGCCAUCCAGGAAAUCAUCUGCCAGAUUUGUGGUCAGUUUACUGUACUCUUCUAUGAAAACAGAUUCGUAACGGAACCUUUGCAGUGUGGAAGCAUUAAUUGAUCCUGAGUAUCAGUGAGUUGAGUCUGGAUUUGGGAAGAAAAGAGCAAUAAGAAGAAUACAGACUUGUGAACUAAAUGUUUAAAAGUGUGGAAUUGUGGUGACAACCAAAGUUUCAUGAGAGCACAUUACAUUUCCUUCAAGACAUGACAUUUUUAAAAAAGUCUUAAUCCAUAUAAGACUAUAUUUUUUAAUUUUUCAGGAAUCUGGUAUCCAGAUUGAACUAAGAAAAAAGUAAAAUGUUGCCUUAUGGAGAAGGCAUCUGUGCAGUGAGAAACAGAGAUUUCAUCCUGUACAAAACUCUCUCAGGCUGAAAUAUUGAGCAAAAAGUUUUCUAAAAGGCACACAUUUAAUCCUGGUUUAAGGAAAAGACCAUUAAAGACAGAAUAUUAGAAACAAAAUCCCCAUGGUAAUGCAUGCAAAUAUUCACAAUACAAAUCUCUGAAAUGCAAAAAGAAUAAUAUGAUUUCAAUACAUGGUUGAAAAUUAAUUUAUAUUCUAAGCAGCUCUGAGUGUAUCAGUUAUAUUUGAACAAUGAAAUUCAAGUGAAUCAUGUAGAAAUUAGAGUUAAUACUUGGUAUGGAUUCUAUUUCAUUUGUGUACUCUCUGUAAGCAAUGUAAUUACAUAAAAAGAGAGAUGGUUCAUCAUUAAGAAAUGACUUUUCCAUCUGGGCCUAUGAAUUAUUUUACUAGAAAGUAAUAAUAAUUUCUUGCUAAUGCAUAUAUCAAUUACUGCCAUAACAUAAUAAUAGCAAUGGUAAAUAUUAAAUAUUUAUUUUUUUAUAUAUUUUGCUCAUAUAAAAUGACUCAGACUGGAGAUUUCAGGAGAUAGAGAGGAGUUUCUCAAAUCAGAUAAAAGGUAGUGUAAUUUCACCUUGAACCAUAUAAAAAUACUUUUUUUAAUAGGUUAUAGGCCCAGGGGUGCCAGGGUGACUCGGUCAGCUAAACAUUUAACUUUAGCUCAUGAUCUCACAGCUUGUAAGUUGGAGCCCCACAUCAGGCUCUGUGCUGACAGCUCAGAGCCUGAAGCCUGCUUCAGAUUCUGUGUCCCCUUCUCUGUCUGCCUCUCCCCUGUUCAUGCUCUGUCUCUCUCUCCUCAAAAACAAAUAAACAUUAAAAAAAUGUUUUAAUAGGUUAUAAACAGAAAUACCAGAAAUGCCAUAUAGUUCUAGUUUGGUAUAUCAGAAAUUAAUUUUAUAAAUCCCAUAUUGCAGAAUUUCUAAGCUAUUUUUAAGUCUUCUUACAUAUUUUAUAUAAUCUGGGAUGACUUAAGGUAACUAUCAAUUAUUUUCACAAAUUUUCUAAGGAACCUGGAGAACCAUCUUCAGACAUGAACAUAUUAUUAUGAGGUGAUCAAGAUCAGGGAGUAGGAAUUUUGAUUGUCUCAACAUUCCUGAGGAAAAUAUUGAAAUAAAUAAUAUGGAUUUCUCUUUGAAAACUAUACAUUUCCUGAGUAAAUAUCAGAAUACAAAAGGCAGCAGCCAUAGUCUAUCAACCGACAUAAUGCAAAAAGAUCUAGUUAUAAAUUGUGCGUAUCUCAAAAAAUCCAAAUAGCCAAUGUUAUAAAUAAACAUUCAUUUAUCAAUCAGUAAAGCCAGCAUCUUUCCUCCAACUGAUUGUAGAAUAUUCUUGAAAUCAUUCUCCCACCCUUACCUUAUCCAAUCCCUUACCAAGUUGAAGAUACUAUCUGAUAAUGUCAAAAUCCUCUGCCCUACUUUCUAUCCUUCAUAGGAACUAUAGCAAGUCAAAAUUAUUAUAGUACACAGAUUCUAAGAUAAUCCUCAAUGAUCCCCACCUGCUGGUAUUUACUCACUCGUAUAACGCCUCCUCUCAACCUUCCACUCCCUGCUUGAUUGUGGGAGGAAACGAUGACUUACUCCUUAACAAUAGAAUAUGGGAAAUAUAUUGGGAUGUCAUAAGAAUGACAUCUGAUUCACUAGCAAACUCUUUCUCCUGCUGACUUUGCUGGAGCAAGUUCCCAUGUUGGGAGCUGCCCUGUGGAGCAGACCACGUGGCAAGGCACUGAAGAUGUUGGGCUCCAGUCAACAGACAGCAAGAAACCAAGGCCCUCAUUCAAACGGGCAUCUAGUACCUCAGGAAACUAAAUUGCGUCUACAAUUGAGUGAGCUUGUAAGGGGGAUAUUUCCACACUUGAAGUUUCAGAUGAGACUCCAGCCAUGCUUAACACCUUACAUGUGGGAGAUCCAGAAACAGAGAACCCAUUUCAACUUUGCCCAGUCUUUUGACUCAUGGAAACGUUGAGGCAAAAAUGUGUUUCAUUAUAUGCUUCUGUGUCUGUGGUACUUCAUCACCACAAAUAAAUAAUACAGAUACCAUUACUCUAACAUGGACUACUAGUGUUUUAUUAGCUUCUCCACUGCCACUAUCCAAAGCAUUCUCCUCCAUUCAACAACAGUUGUUUGUACGAAAUGCAAACCUAAUCACAAUGUCUUCUCUCUUUUUCCAACCACACAUACUGUUUAUAAUUCUUUAAUGGCUUCUCAUUGAUCAUAAGAAAUUUAUAUUUCCUUAAUAUGACCUAAAAACUUUCACCUGUGGCCUUCAUCUAUUUCUCCAGGCUGAUCAUUGUCCCUAGGGAGGAUUAUUCAGAUCCACUUACUGCCACACAGAGUUAGAAAAUUACUUGCUGGGGUGCCUGGGUGGCUCAGUUGGUUAAGCACCAGACUGAAUUUCAUGUUGGGUUCUGAUCUCUGGAUUUCGACUCAGGUCAUGAACUCAUGGUUUGUGAAUUGGAGCCCUCUGUCAGGCUCUGCACUGAGGAGCCUGCUUGGGAUUCUCUCUCUCUCCCUCUCUCUGCCCCUCCCUUGC